Molecule: long non-coding RNA, 240 nt
Organism: Tachysurus vachellii
Lineage: Eukaryota; Metazoa; Chordata; Actinopteri; Siluriformes; Bagridae
Exons: 3
Source: RefSeq, a predicted model, not a curated record
CCUAUUACAUUUCAAAGAAAAAGAAAACCCAAGAACAUUCUUUUCCCUGGAGAAGAUGAUGAUGGUGAGAUGGAAGGACACCAGAAAGAACCAAAGUCAAAAAAAGGAAGGUAUUCCAUACCUGAUGCUCCAAAAAUCGUUAGACAACACAAAUUAGACCCAGGAAAGCCAAGCUGCCCGAAGCUCUGCCACAGUACUCCUGACCUCCCUAAUGAUGAGAUGAAUUGCAUUAAAGGAACA